AGUGAACGCUGGCGGUAGGCCUAACACAUGCAAGUCGAACGGCAGCACAGUAAUUGCUUGCUCUUACGGUUGGCGAGUGUCGGACGGGUGAUGUAUACAUCGUAAUCUACUUUUUCGUGUUUGUUAACGUAGGUAAACUUACUCUAAUACCGCAUACUACCUACGGUUUUAAGCAUUUGUUCUUCGGACCUUUCGCGUUUUUAUUAGCCGAUGUCGGAGUAGCUAGUUGGCGUGGUAAAGGCCCACCAAGGCGACGAUCCGUAGCUGGUCUGAGAGGAUGAGCAGACACACUGGAACGGAGACACGGAAAAGAGGACUACGGGAGGAAGCAGAGGGGAAUAUUGGACAAUGGGCGCAAGAAUGAUACAGCAAUACCGCGUGGGAGAAGAAGGCCUUAGGGUUGUAAAGAACUUUUGUUGGGAAAGAAAAGCAGCAGGAUAAUAACAAGAUGUAAUGACGGUAACAAAAGAAUAAGCAACGGCUAACUACGUG
This 492-nucleotide ribosomal RNA is filed under the name uncultured bacterium. RNAcentral describes it as "partial 16S ribosomal RNA". It matches the Rfam family "Bacterial small subunit ribosomal RNA", at positions 29 to 507 of the family's 1533-position model. The record is from RNAcentral.